Molecule: long non-coding RNA, 8037 nt
Filed under: Malus domestica (apple)
Lineage: Eukaryota; Viridiplantae; Streptophyta; Magnoliopsida; Rosales; Rosaceae
Description: long non-coding RNA (MDOM_LNC003447)
Source: RNAcentral
CGUAGCGCACUUCCUGGAACUGACGGAAGAGUAUGCUGAGAAAAAUAUGGAAACGAGAACUGAAGCUUAUCUGAAGGAGACGGUGCUUCCAAACAUAUCAAAGUCGAUAUCAGUUCUUCGUCGCUAUGAAACCUCUUGCCUGCAGCAGAAGAAACCAACCUUGUAAGCAGGCUUAUCAAAGCAAUUGCAAACAAUGCAUGCAAAGAGCAGCUCACCUCUGGCUUAUUGAAACUUGACCACAACUUCACUGCAAAAGGAGCUCCAAAUAUGGAACCUGAAACGCCCGCAGACCGGUGGGGAAAAGCGCUUACAGUGCUUAGCCUCGACUUCUUCCAACGCGUUCUAUCCGCGGUGAAAACCAAGGGUCUUAAACAGGAUAUGAUCAGCAAAAUCUGAAGGUGUCUACAGGACAAAAUGCAAGAGAUCGAAAUUGGAAGAAAAAAAAUAUGAAGCUUUACGUGAGGCUUGGUGUUGCAAUUUCUCAAAUGAAAAUUUAUUGUUGUCCGGUGAUUGUUUAGGUAGUUUUAACUGGUGGAUAUUAAAGUUUGGUUGGUGUGUGUAUUGAAGUUUGGUUGGCUGGUUUGUAUAUUGAAGUUUGAUUGGUGUAUGUAUUGAAGUUUGGUUGGUUUGGUUUGUAUAUUAAAGUUCGGUUGGUUGAUGUGAUUUGUUCGUUUUUAGAAAUUUUGUCGGAAUAUAAAUCAUCUUUAGAUUAAAAUUUUUGUAAAAUUAAGAGUAAUGUAGGUAAACUAAAUAUGCAAACUAAAUAAUGUAUUACUAAUAAAAAUAAGCACAUUAAUCAACACUUAAAUAAUAAUCCGAUCAUCAACUUUCAUGUAAUUUAGUUUACAAAGUUUGUUCUACGAAUUUAGUCUUCCUAGCAUUACCCUAAAAGUAAAUUUAGAGAACAUAAUUCAAAGAUACAAAAAUAUCCUUACCCGAAAAAAAUUAGGAUUAAAACCAUUUCAUAACAAUUAAUACAUUUUAGGUCUUGAAAUUAAAUUUUGUCUUUCAAUGAACCUAAAUAUUUGAGUUUGAGUCCAAGGGUUGGAGUUGGUCUUAAACUAUUUGUUUUUUACAGUCAAAAGUGCUUUGUUUAGCAGAAAACUUCAAAGUACUUUCAAGUGUUUUCCAUAAAACACAUAGAUUGUCAAUAAAAAUUUCAAUUAAGUACUUAUGAGUUAUGAGCUUUUAGUUUUAGAUAAGCAAUCCUACUACCUAAUGACCCAACUCUUUGGAACGAUGCAUUCUCGGAAAUUACUAGAUAGAAGAUUGUGGUAAGCGGGAGGAAGGUGAGGGUGAUGUCAAGUCAUUAUGCGCCCUUGCCCACUUAUGCCUUGGGCAAUACACAUGCUAUAGUGGCUGGAACCGCUAGUAAUUAUCGUUCAGCCAUACAACAAUGAAUUUAUUCUCGAGCCUUGUCACACUAUGGGAGUUGGCCAUGCUUGAAGUCAAAAGAGAAGAGAAGACACAACAUUUGUCGGAUUGUGCUAUCUACACACUCAUUUUUACUUUCUACACACCCUCUCAAUUUCCAAAAUUAACAAGGGUGUGCGAGAGAUAAAAAAGAGUGUGAAUAACACUACCUAAGUUGUAAGUCAUCGAAUGUCUCCAAGCACGGGAUGGGGAUCAUUUUCCCUCCCUUUUUCCCUCCCCUCCCUCCCCGCCUCUCACAAAUUGUUUUUCUUGUUUCUCUCUGUACUUGUUUUUUUUUUUUUUUUGUUUCUCUCUACAAAUAUGAAAUCUUGAGCGUUUAAACAAGAACGGAAAGAGAGUGGAGAGAAUCUUUGUUCCCACGCGGCUACCUCCGCCUUUCGCUUUCCUUCCCCUUCUUCCUUACUGUAAACUUUACUCGAACAUAUUUCAAGUUAUGUCAUAAUUAACAUUAGAGUAAUACUGUAAAACCCAGGUUAAAGAACUUGAUCUGGUUUACCACUUUAAGCAAAAGUAGCAAAUAAUGAUGGGUCAUAUCACUUUCUACGUUGGUUUCUUUUCAAAUUUGUUUCAUUGUAUUGAAGAGAAUCGAACACUGAACGUAACUUAAUUUUUUCUAACACAUUAUCCUAAACACCUGUGCGUUCUUACUUUAACUUGGAGUAAAAUGAUUAAUAACCCAAGCUACAUUAUGAUCCACCCACCCACACGUUGGAUCACUACAUUGCAAUGCUUUGCUUUUUCGCAUGUGUUUAAAAUAAAGAACUGAGAUUCUCUCCAAAUCACUGUGUUUGGAAUCGGCAGCCUCAUAGAUCGGACCACUCAUGUAAAGCUUUACGGCCUCAUUUGUCUGUCCCACUGCUCUACCUCACACAAAUCAUGGGCCCAUAUCUCUUGCUUCCCUCCUUAAAUGACCAAAAAAAUUUGGUCCGUUGGCUCGGAACUUGGAGAUCCCGAAAUAAGCGUGCUUAGAUUUGGUUUAUAAUUCUUUUUUACUGUAAAUAAUUACUGCCACACACUUCUACUAAUGAAUAAUGAUUCAAACUCCUUUUCACCCUCAUGGGUAACCACAGAAGGACUCAGACAUACUUUUGCCAAUGCUGUCCUUACUUUAUUAUUAUUAUUUCCAAAUUUUAUUUUUCCCAUCUGAUUUAAAUAUAUUUCUUUGAAUUACAUGGUUCACAAAUUCUGAAAACUAGAUUAACCUUAAAAAAAAUGAAUGAGUCCCAAUGCAAUAGCUUAUUACCAAAUGAUGAAAUUUUGAUUUGAUGAGGCAGCUCUGUAGACUGCAGUGUGACAGUGUCCAGCUUCAGCAUUCUGCAAAAUUAUAAUUUUUUGAGUAUGUAUAUAUAUAUAUAUAUAUAUAUUGUAAUUGAGAAAGAGUAGUAAUAACGCUUGUAAUAAAAGAAUUUUGCAAAAUUAUAAUUUUUUGAGUAAAUGUAUAUUUUAAUAUAAUCACAUAUAUAUAUAUAUAUAUAUAUAUAUAUAUAUAUAUAUAUAUUGUAAUUGAGUAAGAGUAGCAAUAAUACUUGUAAUUAAAGAAAACGUUGUGACUCACGAGCUUAAUGAAGUUUGGCUUUAAUUUUGAUAAAUAGUUUCUGUUACCUUUCAUUAUAUAUAAAAUUUUCACUCCAGCAAAGGAGAAUCCUUCAUUUUAUCUUCAUUUUAUCAUUUUACCUACAAGCGGCAUUUUGAUAAAGUUUUGACGUUCAUCGACGAUAUAUUUCUAAAUGUAUGCAAGAAUUUCACCAGUUGUAUGCAAGAAUCUCACUGUUCCUUUCACUUGGUCACUCAUAAUUUGAUACAUUGUUUGUGCCCAAUAAGAAAAACAAAUUAAAGCAAGAACUUGGCUGGAAUCAAUAAGUGCACCCAGCAGAGCAGGGCACUCCAAUUUCUUCUCUUUGCCCUGCCAGCUUACUCUGUAACAGUGUUGAAGCAACAUAUGGAUUGGACCACCUGCCAACUGUUCACAAUGAAAAAGAAGUUAACCAACUUGAUUAAUUUUUUUACAUGAAUAUGCUGUUAUCGUAGCGUUUCAUAUUAAUAAAAUAAAAAUAUAUGUAAGUUUUUUUUCCGUAACGUGGAGUUUGUGACACGAAAUACUACGGCAAGAGUCUACCUGUGCCGUAAGUUUGCACAUUGCUCCAAUAUUAAAAUGUUGUUCAUCACCAACCGAUCAUCCAGCAAACAAAAAAGAAAAAGAAUUGAUGAGGUUAUCAUUGCCACCUGAUCGACUCAAUCCCACGCCAUCAUGAGUCCAACAUUGUCACACUGAGAGCACUGAGUAGCACAAAUGUACAACCAAAUUUAAUACAAGCAUGUGUUGCCAAGGUAAUUAUGUUAAAACGAGUCAUUAAGAGUAGAUAUUGUAGGAGUCCUUUAUUAGGAAAGAAUUAUAUUGGGUUAUAGCCUUUCUUGUAAAACAAGACUAUGAUGUUGCCGAUGUUGGAUUUUUCAAUACGUCUCCUUACGUGGGAUCCAAUUAGUGGUCAUGUGGGAGAUCCACACAACUACAACCAUGUUGAGCCAAUGAGACUCAUCGUACACGCGGGAUCAAAGUACCCAACAUCAUUGCGCACGGUCAAGGGGACCCACCCAUCACGUGGUAGUACACUACGGGUUUGCUCCUUGACUCUGAUACCAUGUCGAAUUAUCAGAGAGACGGGUGAAAGGCUCACUUCCAACAAUACUGAUAUUGUCCCCAACUUGAUAAUUACCACAUGCACAAUCCGUCAAAUGUGGAGUUUUAUCACAAAAGGCAUCGGUAUUAGUUAGAGUGGAGUUAGGAUAUUCAUAAUCAAAUAUAGGGCUGGCAGAUCAAGUGACAGAUACAAAGCAAGGUUGGUGGCGAAGGGUUAUACUCAAACGUAUGGUGUGGAUUACCAGGAAACCUUUUCACCAGUAGAUAGGAUGAAUAGGGUACGUGUUUUAAUCUUUUUAGUUGCAAAUAUGGAUUAGCCACUAAAACAAUUUGAUGUGAAGAAUGCUUUCCUUGAUGGUGGAAUCUAGAAGAAGAAGUAUAUAUUGUUUUUCCUCCUGGAUAUGAUGCAAAUAGGAAGACUGGGGUGUGUAUAUUGCGUAAGUCUCUAUAUGGGCUUAAGCAAACACCUCGUGCGUGGUUCAACAGGUUCACUCAGGCAAUGAAGAAAAAUGGGUAUCAUCAGAGUCAUUCAGACCAUACAUUAUUUAUAAAGCGUAGAUUAAGCAAAGUAAUUGCACUGAUUAUCUAUGUAGAUGACAUGAUUAUUAUAGAAGAUGACUCAGAUAAGAUAAUUAGGUUGCAGGAGAAUUUGCAUUAGAGUUUGAGAUGAAAAACUUGGGAGAUUUGAAGUACUUCCUUGGAGUUGAGGUUGCCCAGUCGUCCAAAUGUAUUUCUUAUCUCAAAGGAAAAUAUUUGUUGGAUUUGUUAAAAGAAACUGGUAUGCUAGGGUGUAAACCUGUGGACACACCUAUUGUAGAAAAACAUCAUAUGGGUGUUUAUCCAUGUUAUAAUAUGAAUAGGUGACUGGCGUAUGCUUUAGGGCAAACUGUUAGCAUUUCGAAGCUUGUGUGAGAGUCGAUUAAGAGGCUAUACUAGAUGUAUUGCCUCCGUUUCUUAGACUUGACUAACCUAUGUGCAAACUAACAUUCACGCAAAUUUUCUCGUCUCUCAUGAUUGAUUAAUUGUUGAGAGUAUGAAUCCUAUUGAGAAAGAAAGAACAUUGCAUGUGCUUAUAAGUAAAUGGGCUACUCCUCAUAUUACCAAUUGAUUUUAUGGUUGAAUCAAAUUUCUUUAUAAAAUCAGAGCAAGUUGUCCCUCGUGUGAAGUCCAACGGCCACACGUGCUCCGAGUCACCUAAUUUGUGUUUCUACGUCCUAGUUUGAAAAUUUGUCACACAAUUGAUACCUGAAUUGGUAGGUUUGAUGUACAAUGUUUUAGUAUCACAUAAUAAUUUCUCGUCAUUGAGCCGUACAAGGCCUCCAGAUGUCGAAACCGUAGUGGCUGAAAGUAUGUAACACGGGUAUACAUCCCUUAUGGAAUAUAUGAUGGAAAUGCAUGUUUGGUUCUAGAAGACUAUAGAAUAUAGUUUAAGUGGAUGCGUGUGGUUCUAAUUAUAUCAGGUAAACCCACUCAUCCUUUAAAUUUCUACUUUAAUUAGCUUUACACAUAAUUAACGACUUAAUUUAAGCAAAAGCUUUAAGCGAGUAGCUUUCACUAGCCAUGAUUACAACCCCCAAAAGCACUGCAGCCCUCUCAGAAAUCCUGCAAAAUUUCCUCACAAACAUUAACCAUGUAAAAGCAACUCACUCAGUCACUCACUCCCUCUCACUACCUUUCACCGAAAAGUGCUUUUGCAGCUGCAAUUCCUUGACUUUUAGAUUAAAAACCUCAUCAUAGACACUCAUUAAAGUAAUUAAAUUGUUUCAAAGUCCCCUCCUUUGUUCUUGCUCGGUUUCAUGUGACUUUCUCCUCUCUCCAGCAGCAUUUUUCUUUUUCUCUCUUUCCCCAAACGAUUUCUCCGACAAAUGUUGCAAUGUGCAACUGGAAACUGAGAAAUCUGAGAUGGGGUUUUAGUGGAAAGUGCUUAUGUUGCUGAAAGUUUGAGGCUUCUGAACUUUUUGUAGUGGGAUUUGGAGGUGCAGGAUUUUGAGUGGGAAUUUAUGAAGUAAGGUGUUUGAAAAUUUGAGAAAUCUGAGACGGGUUUUUAGUAAAAGUGCUUAUAUUGUUGAAAGCUUGAGGCUUUUGAUAAUUUUGUAGUGGGAUUGGAGCUGCAGGAUUUUGAUCAUAAAGUGUUUGAGGAAAGAUGGGGGCCGUCACCAUUGGUGAACUGAAGCCUAGCAUUUCCGGGAAGCGGUCGUUUCGUCCGAGUUCCAGCAUAAGGCAUGCCACUGAAUGGUAAUGUUCCCCCUCAUCUUCUGUUUUCUUUAUAUUCGAUCGAUAUCUAAUCGAAUGUAAAAUAGUAAAAUGCGAGAGCGGGAAUUGAACUUGGGCACAUAUUGCAAUAGCCAACUUGAUUACACCCAGUUAUGCGUUCCUCCAUCUCUUUUAUUGAUUACGUACAUUUAAUUUUAGCCUUUUUUUCUCUAGCUUUGAGUCACAUGGUAGUCUCUACUUACUUACUAGUAACUCUAUGUUGCACGGUAAUACAACCAGAAACACGAAAGGACACGAAAAUAGAGUUUUUUUUUUUAGCAUUUUUUUGGGAUUUGAGUGUCAAAACAGAGCCUAUGUUUUUCAAACAGUCUAUGAGCUUCUGUGCCCCACCCACCACCCUCCUCUGAAAUUAAGGAAGAUAAUAACAUUUCAUGGUCACACAAUAAAUCAUGUGAGCUUCUUCCCGACAGUACGGAAUCGAAACAACAAUAGCACGAGGACCACCUGGCUGAUUGCCGUCCAGAUGUAGCCAUAUUUCACUGUCAACAUUCUUGAAAUGCCAACUGCCAACCCAAGUUAAUGUUUUGAGGAUCAAUUAUUUGUGUGUAUUUACCCUCUGUCGGCCCUGAACACAUGUACGGACCAGUUGUACAAAAUUACAAAUUGUUCCUUGUUUGUGACAGACCCUUCUUGCUUUAUUCAGCGUGACUGUUACAUCGUUGCGUGGUAUUAUUAGUCCGCUCAACUAGCUUAGCCAAUCAGCUUUCUUAUCCUUUACCAUAAUCUAACAUUACUCUUCAUGUGCAAACUCCAAUCCACCACUCAUUUCGCAAUUAUUGAACCAUCCGCCUAUAGCGAAUCAUUAAUAUCUAGGGAGAAUCACGCUGUCCAUAUGUUUUGAUUGAACUAGAACGAGUGUGUUGUGUACUUCCAAGGAAACAAAAAGAAAAAGUUCCUGCAGGAUUUUUGAUAUGAUGGUACCUAUGAGAAUGUAUGCAUUUGGUUCUAGAUCGUAACCUAGAUAUUGAUUUUCUUGCCUUGCUUCGUUUCCAUUUUUCAACGAAUUUAUUCUAUCACGCAGGCCAAUCUCUGAUGUUUCUAGCGAUCUUACUGUGGAAAUAGGAGCAUCAAGCUUUGCACUUCACAAGGUGAGUGAAACCGGUUCAGAACUAGUCUGUUGUUCAAUUUGUUGCGGUUACAAGAUAGUUAUUCAUUAGCUUGAGAUAAAAUAACUUUCUGUCACGAUUAAACGAAGACUUGUUGAAUUAGUAAUGUGACGAUGACUGUGGUGCAGUUCCCCCUAGUUUCUAAGAGUGGAAGGAUUCGGAGACUGUUGCUUGAAGCAAAAGAUGCAAAAGUUUCGCGCAUAAUUCUCUCUGCUGUUCCGGGUGGACCAGAGGGAUUUGAGCUAGCUGCAAAGUUCUGUUACGGAGUUCAUGUUGAAAUUACGCAGUCAAAUGUUGCCAUGCUUCGUUGCGUAGCGCACUUCCUGGAAAUGACGGAAGAGUAUGCUGAGAAAAAUAUGGAAACGAGAGCUGAAGCUUAUCUGAAGGAGACGGUGCUUCCAAACAUAUCAAAGUCGAUAUCAGUUCUUCAUCGCUGCGAAACCCUCUUGCCAGCAGCAGAAGAAACCAACCUUGUAAGCAGGCUUAUCAACGCAAUUGCAAACAAUGCAUGCAAAGAGCAGCUCACCUCUGGCUUAUUGAAACUUGACCACAACUUCACUGCAAAAGGAGCUCCAAAUAUGGAAC